AGAGUUUGAUCCUGGCUCAGGAUGAACGCUAGCUACAGGCUUAACACAUGCAAGUCGAAGGGCAGCAUUGGAGUAGCAAUACUUCAGAUGGCGACCGGCGCACGGGUGAGUAACACGUAUCCAACCUGCCGCUUACUCGGGGAUAGCCUUUCGAAAGAAAGAUUAAUACCCGAUGGUAUAAAGAGUUCGCAUGUUCUCUUUAUUAAAGAAUUUCGGUAAGCGAUGGGGAUGCGUUCCAUUAGAUUGUUGGUGGGGUAACGGCCCACCAAGUCUACGAUGGAUAGGGGUUCUGAGAGGAAGGUCCCCCACAUUGGAACUGAGACACGGUCCAAACUCCUACGGGAGGCAGCAGUGAGGAAUAUUGGUCAAUGGACGCGAGUCUGAACCAGCCAAGUAGCGUGAAGGAUGACUGCCCUAUGGGUUGUAAACUUCUUUUAUAAGGGAAUAAAGUGAGGGACGUGUCCCUUUUUGUAUGUACCUUAUGAAUAAGGAUCGGCUAACUCCGUGCCAGCAGCCGCGGUAA
This 523-nucleotide ribosomal RNA is filed under the name uncultured bacterium. RNAcentral describes it as "bacterial SSU rRNA". It matches the Rfam family "Bacterial small subunit ribosomal RNA", at positions 8 to 523 of the family's 1533-position model. The record is from RNAcentral.